Molecule: ribosomal RNA, 222 nt
Filed under: uncultured bacterium
Lineage: Bacteria
Description: partial 16S ribosomal RNA
Rfam family: Bacterial small subunit ribosomal RNA
Source: RNAcentral
AGUAAUGUAUGGGGAUCUGCCCGAUAGAGGGGGAUAACUACUGGAAACGGUGGCUAAUACCGCAUAAUGUCUACGGACCAAAGCAGGGGCUCUUCGGACCUUGCACUAUCGGGUGAACCCAUAUGGGAUUAGCUAGUAGGUGGGGUAAAGGCUCACCUAGGCGACGAUCUCUAGCUGGUCUGAGAGGAUGAUCAGCCACACUGGGACUGAGACACGGCCCAG